GAUGAACGCUGGCGGCGUGCCUAAUACAUGCAAGUCGAGCGAACAGAUGAGGAGCUUGCUCCUCUGACGUUAGCGGCGGACGGGUGAGUAACACGUGGAUAACCUACCUAUAAUACUGGGAUAACUUCGGGAAACCGGAGCUAAUACCGGAUAAUAUAUUGAACCGCAUGGUUCAAUAGUGAAAGACGGUUUUGCUGUCACUUAUAGAUGGAUCCGCGCCGCAUUAGCUAGUUGGUAAGGUAACGGCUUACCAAGGCAACGAUGCGUAGCCGACCUGAGAGGGUGAUCGGCCACACGGGAAGUGAGACACGGUCCAGACUCCUACGGGAGGCAGCAGUAGGGAAUCUUCCGCAAUGGGCGAAAGCCUGACGGAGCAACGCCGCGUGAGUGAUGAAGGUCUUCGGAUCGUAAAACUCUGUUAUUAGGGAAGAACAAAUGUGUAAGUAAAUAUGCACGUCUUGACGGUACCUAAUCAGAAAGCCACGGCUAACUACGUG
RNAcentral lists this ribosomal RNA (497 nucleotides) under uncultured bacterium. RNAcentral's name for it is "partial 16S ribosomal RNA". It matches the Rfam family "Bacterial small subunit ribosomal RNA", at positions 28 to 507 of the family's 1533-position model. The record is from RNAcentral.